This is a long non-coding RNA of Gallus gallus (chicken), 1033 nucleotides long. Lineage: Eukaryota; Metazoa; Chordata; Aves; Galliformes; Phasianidae. The record is from Ensembl.
UUUGGGCUCAUGUAAGGGCUAGUCACUGAAAGGAGAGAAUCUCUUGGACUUAGGCUGUGUGCUGAGAUGGAGUGCUAUGUAGCUAGAGAACUCCUUCACCAAGUGGAGCUUAUGAUCAAAGGCAGCACAUAGGCUUUAAUGAGAAAAAACACAGCACUAAUGUUACCGUGGAAAGCUGCAGCAGUUAAAGAAGGACAAGCUGCAACAUGGACUGAGCUGCACCUGUUAUAAACCUCCUACAGUCUGAUCAAGGGCUUCUGUUUCUGUAGCUCCUGCUACUCUGUCAAUUGUACACAAGGACAAAGAAACAGUAUGGCAGCUGACCUAUGCCUCAUCACCUGCACACAGAACCUCAAAGUUGAGCAACAGAUGGCCAGUAGCUCUCAGUCAACAGGAUUCAGAAGCAAGAGAGCAGCUCUGGGACGGAGGAUGUCUCUCAGGCUGAAGAGAUCAUACUCCCCAUGGCUAAAAACAGCCUUGGACCCUGCCAGAGUCUCACUCUGGUACCAGUCAUUUCACAGUGGGAACUCUGAAAGGCUCAGACUGACCCAACUGGACUUGGCUAAGUGGGAUGCAGGAGCUGCCAAAGCCCAUUCCACCAUGGGGCCCCUGGGCAGGGGUUCUGCAGCUGUUGGUGGGAGGUGGACGAUGGACCACCUCUGGGACACACAGUGCUCCUGAUCCACCACGGGAAGCUGCUCUGGUUCCUGUCUCUCUUCAGCAUUCAUAAUGAUAUCUUGGCUUGUUCAAGCUCUCUUCAUAAAUCCUGAUAAACUCCUAACCUCAAAAACAUCCUGUAACUAGGGGCUCCCUAGUCUAGUUGCCAUGUUGUGAGAAAAAGUGCUUCCCGUUAUCACCAUUACAUUUGCAGCUGCUGAGCUUCAUCAAAUCUCUUCAUGCCCUUGUUUUAAAGACAAUGUGAAUAUUAAUUCCUCUCUCCCUUAUUUAUGACACCCACUCUCUUCAUACAUCCAUUCUGCCCCCUCUUAUUAAUCUACCCUUGAAGGUAAACUGAGCCAGCUUUUUCAAUCUC